RNAcentral lists this non-coding RNA (120 nucleotides) under Vombatus ursinus (common wombat). The record is from RNAcentral. Lineage: Eukaryota; Metazoa; Chordata; Mammalia; Diprotodontia; Vombatidae.
UCGCUCUAAGAGAGAAGGUUAGCACUCCCCUUGAUAAGGAUGGAAAAGAUCCUAGUGGCCUUUACAACACAUAUAAGGUUAAGGCAUUGCCACCUAUUCUGUGGCAUCUAACCACUCUUA